This is a long non-coding RNA of Amblyraja radiata (thorny skate), 88 nucleotides long. RefSeq lists it as uncharacterized. NCBI's taxonomy places the organism in Eukaryota, Metazoa, Chordata, Chondrichthyes, Rajiformes, Rajidae. The record is from RefSeq and is a predicted model, not a curated record. The transcript has 3 exons.
GUAAUCAGAUUAGGGAAGUGUUUAAAUUGCAAGGAAUAGUUAUCCGGAGCAAAGAUAAACAUAGGGUGCUUUCAAAUAGGCUGAAGGG